AUUUGAAGGAGACAAUGUAUCCCAUAGAACAAUGGGAUAGGACAAACAGUACAUACAGUACAGGUCAAUAAAAACUUCCCGUUGCGUUGGCGUUGAACGUCGUUGAAACGUAGUAAACGUUCCGUUUUUUUGCCGUUGCACGUUCCGUUUUAUACUUCGUCCGUUUUGAACCUCCAAGAACGGUGCGCUCCAGCGUUUUAGCUUUACUUUACAUAGAAAUCACAUCAACUGCUCAGGAGACAUGAAGAAGAGGGGCACUAACCUUUUUUGUGAUCAGGACGAGUAUUUGGCAAGGCACAUGGUGUGACUAGCCCGAGCGGCGGCCUCACUGAUCAGUACAGAUCUUGGCUACUACAUGAUUUUAGAUUCAAGCGGGUCUCUUCUAACAAAGAAAAUGAUAAUGAUGUAUUUAUACUAUUGUUAUUUAUUAUUCAUUGAUAUUGAAUUUUAUGAUUAAUAAUAAUUAAGUUGCUACGCAACGACAAAACAAUAA
Long non-coding RNA from Amphimedon queenslandica, 493 nucleotides. RefSeq lists it as uncharacterized. The transcript is spliced from 2 exons. Lineage: Eukaryota; Metazoa; Porifera; Demospongiae; Haplosclerida; Niphatidae. The record is from RefSeq and is a predicted model, not a curated record.